RNAcentral lists this transfer RNA (74 nucleotides) under Stieleria marina. Its description in RNAcentral is "Planctomycetes bacterium K23_9 tRNA-Thr". It matches the Rfam family "tRNA". Rfam says of the family: Transfer RNA (tRNA) molecules are approximately 80 nucleotides in length. Their secondary structure includes four short double-helical elements and three loops (D, anti-codon, and T loops). Further hydrogen bonds mediate the characteristic L-shaped molecular structure. tRNAs have two regions of fundamental functional importance: the anti-codon, which is responsible for specific mRNA codon recognition, and the 3' end, to which the tRNAs corresponding amino acid is attached (by aminoacyl-tRNA synthetases). tRNAs cope with the degeneracy of the genetic code in two manners: having more than one tRNA (with a specific anti-codon) for a particular amino acid; and 'wobble' base-pairing, i.e. permitting non-standard base-pairing at the 3rd anti-codon position. The record is from RNAcentral. Lineage: Bacteria; Pseudomonadati; Planctomycetota; Planctomycetia; Pirellulales; Pirellulaceae.
GCCGACGUAGCUCAGUUGGUAGAGCGUCGCAUUCGUAAUGCGCAGGUCGCCGGUUCAACUCCGGCCGUCGGCUC